GUUAGGAAUAUUGGACAAUGGGCGCAAGCCUGAUCCAGCCAUGCCGCGUGAGUGAUGAAGGCCUUCGGGUUGUAAAGCUCUUUAGCCGAUGAUUAUAAUGACUGUAGUCGGAAAAUAAGCCCCGGCUAACUUCGUGCCAGCAGCCGCGGUAAUACGAAGGGGGCGAGCGUUAUUCGGAAUCACUGGGCGUAAAGCGUGCGUAGGCGGCUUUGCAAGUUGGGAGUGAAAGCCCAGGGCUCAACCCUGGAAUUGCUCUCAAACAUGCAAGGCUCGAAUUCGGGAGAGGAUAGCGGAAUUGUCAGUGUAGCAGUGAAAUGCGUAGAUAUUGACAGGAACACCAGUGGCGUAAGCGGCUAUCUGGACCGAUAUUGACGCUGAGGCACGAAAGCGUGGGGAUCAAACAGGAUUAGAAACCCGGGUAGUCC
RNAcentral lists this ribosomal RNA (425 nucleotides) under uncultured bacterium. Its description in RNAcentral is "bacterial SSU rRNA". It matches the Rfam family "Bacterial small subunit ribosomal RNA", at positions 354 to 796 of the family's 1533-position model. The record is from RNAcentral.